This 561-nucleotide long non-coding RNA is filed under the name Bos indicus x Bos taurus (hybrid cattle). RNAcentral describes it as "lncRNA (ENSBIXG00000017241.1)". The record is from RNAcentral. Lineage: Eukaryota; Metazoa; Chordata; Mammalia; Artiodactyla; Bovidae.
UAAAACGUCCUGACUGGGGACUUCCCUGGUGGUCGAGUGGUUAGGAAUUCAUCUUCCAAUGAGGGGGACAUGGGUUAGAUCCCUGGUUGGGGAACUAGAUCCCACAUGCCAUGAGGCAGCUAAGCCUGCAUGCAAUGACAAAGCUCUUGCAUGCUGCAACUGAGACCUGACGCAGCCCAAAAUAAAUAAUUAAAAAGUACCGAUCUAGACAUGUGGUAUCUAUGCUAAUUUAUAGUUUAAUAACAUUUUAUGUGUUUUCCAGGUGCCUCUACAAGGAUGAAAUUUGUACACGAGAAAAGCAAACAUUUAAAGGACUGAUGUUCUUGAAACAGUUGCUUCCAUCCAAGACAGAAGCAAUUGAUUCUUAAAGAAGGGCUAAUAUUCCCAGGAUUUUAAACAGCGGCAAAACUCAUUGGUGAAGGAUACAGCUCUGGGUUCUUUUCCAGUUGCGGUAAGCGGCUCUAUUCUUGGUUGACAGGCCUUUUGUAAUCUGUAUGUGACUUAAAUCCGGAAAUGAAAUAUAAAAUGAAGCCCUUGUUAUGGGCACAGAGGAAACAGUAU